AGCGAACGCUGGCGGGAGGGGGAACACAUGCAAGUCGCGCGGGUGGUUUCGGCCAUCAGCGGCGGACGGGUGAGUAUCGCGUAGGAAUGUAUCCCGAGGUGGGGGACAACCCUGGGAAACUGGGGCUAAUACCGCAUGGGGCGUGUGGGUCAAAGCCUUAGGGCGCCUUGGGAGCAGCCUGCGUCCGAUUAGGUAGUUGGUGGGGUAAAGGCCUACCAAGCCUGCGAUCGGUAGCUGGUCUGAGAGGACGAUCAGCCACACUGGGACUGAGACACGGCCCAGACUCCUACGGGAGGCAGCAGUGGGGAAUAUUGGACAAUGGGCGCAAGCCUGAUCCAGCAAUGCCGCGUGGGUGAAGAAGGUCUUCGGAUUGUAAAGCCCUUUCGGCGGGGACGAUGAUGACGGUACCCGCAGAAGAAGCCCCGGCUAACUUCGUG
This 437-nucleotide ribosomal RNA is filed under the name uncultured bacterium. Its description in RNAcentral is "partial 16S ribosomal RNA". It matches the Rfam family "Bacterial small subunit ribosomal RNA", at positions 30 to 507 of the family's 1533-position model. The record is from RNAcentral.